GACGAACGCUGGCGGCGUGCUUAACACAUGCAAGUCGAACGGAAAGGCCCUGCUUUUGUGGGGUGCUCGAGUGGCGAACGGGUGAGUAACACGUGAGUAACCUGCCCUUGACUUUGGGAUAACUUCAGGAAACUGGGGCUAAUACCGGAUAGGAGCUCCUGCUGCAUGGUGGGGGUUGGAAAGUUUCGGCGGUUGGGGAUGGACUCGCGGCUUAUCAGCUUGUUGGUGGGGUAGUGGCUUACCAAGGCUUUGACGGGUAGCCGGCCUGAGAGGGUGACCGGCCACAUUGGGACUGAGAUACGGCCCAGACUCCUACGGGAGGCAGCAGUGGGGAAUAUUGCACAAUGGGCGGAAGCCUGAUGCAGCAACGCCGCGUGCGGGAUGAAGGCCUUCGGGUUGUAAACCGCUUUCGCCUGUGACGAAGCGUGAGUGACGGUAAUGGGUAAAGAAGCACCGACUAACUACGUG
RNAcentral lists this ribosomal RNA (468 nucleotides) under uncultured bacterium. RNAcentral describes it as "partial 16S ribosomal RNA". It matches the Rfam family "Bacterial small subunit ribosomal RNA", at positions 28 to 507 of the family's 1533-position model. The record is from RNAcentral.